GCUGGCGGCAUGCCUACACAUGCAAGUUCUUUACGGAAAACGAUGGGAGCUUGCUCCCAGGCGUCGAGUGGCGGACGGGUGAGUAACACAUAGGAAUCUGCCCAGUAGCGGGGGACAACCUGGUGAAAACCAGGCUAAUACCGCAUACGCCCUACGGGGGAAAGCAGGGGAUCUUCGGACCUUGCACUAUUGGAUGAGCCUAUGUCAGAUUAGCUUGUUGGUGGGGUAAUGGCCUACCAAGGCGACGAUCUGUAGCUGGUCUGAGAGGACGAUCAGCCACACUGGGACUGAGACACGGCCCAGACUCCUACGGGAGGCAGCAGUGGGGAAUAUUGCACAAUGGGGGAAACCCUGAUGCAGCAAUGCCGCGUGUGUGAAGAAGGCCUGCGGGUUGUAAAGCACUUUCAGUGGGGAGGAAACAGUUACGGGUUAAUAUCCCGUAGCCUUGACGUUACCCACAGAAGAAGCACCGGCUAACUCUGUGCCAGCAGCCGCGG
Molecule: ribosomal RNA, 497 nt
Filed under: uncultured Gammaproteobacteria bacterium
Lineage: Bacteria; Pseudomonadati; Pseudomonadota; Gammaproteobacteria
Description: bacterial SSU rRNA
Rfam family: Bacterial small subunit ribosomal RNA
Source: RNAcentral